RNAcentral lists this long non-coding RNA (294 nucleotides) under Struthio camelus australis. Its description in RNAcentral is "lncRNA (ENSSCUG00000012448.1)". The record is from RNAcentral. Lineage: Eukaryota; Metazoa; Chordata; Aves; Struthioniformes; Struthionidae.
CCAAAAUGAACCUCUGCUGGUCACGCUUGAGAAUGUCUCCUAGGUUCCUUAAGCAAACUGAGCCGCCACAGGUGCCCAAAAGCAUGUACUCCAUGUCCCCAGAACUGAGGAAUUUGAAAGAUGAAAUAAGAAGUGGCUCCAGCUGGAACUCAUGUCUUGUGUCCUGGAACAUAAUUUUCGUAAGAGAGGAGUAGCACGGGCACAAGAAAUACGGAUGUGUUCCCUCUUCCGUGUCAGCCAACUGUCUGCUCUAGAAGAAGGUAAGUAAUAUCCUAAGAUAGUAACAUGACACUA